AGUCGGUCCCAAGGGUUGGGCUGUUCGCCCAUUAAAGCGGUACGCGAGCUGGGUUCAGAACGUCGUGAGACAGUUCGGUCCCUAUCCGUCGUGGGCGUAGGAAAUUUGAGAGGAGCUGUCCUUAGUACGAGAGGACCGGGAUGGACGCACCGCUGGUGUACCAGUUGUUCUGCCAAGGGCAUAGCUGGGUAGCUAUGUGCGGAAGGGAUAAGUGCUGAAAGCAUCUAAGCAUGAAGCCCCCCUCAAGAUGAGAUUUCCCAUAGCGUAAGCUAGUAAGAUCCCUGAAAGAUGAUCAGGUUGAUAGGUUCGAGGUGGAAGCAUGGUGACAUGUGGAGCUGACGAAUACUAAUAGAUCGAGGACUUAACCAUAUAA
Molecule: ribosomal RNA, 373 nt
Filed under: Bacillus mycoides
Lineage: Bacteria; Bacillati; Bacillota; Bacilli; Caryophanales; Bacillaceae
Also listed under: 1 other name
Description: partial 23S ribosomal RNA
Rfam family: Bacterial large subunit ribosomal RNA
Source: RNAcentral